RNAcentral lists this transfer RNA (72 nucleotides) under Claviceps maximensis. RNAcentral describes it as "tRNA-Asp". It matches the Rfam family "tRNA". Rfam says of the family: Transfer RNA (tRNA) molecules are approximately 80 nucleotides in length. Their secondary structure includes four short double-helical elements and three loops (D, anti-codon, and T loops). The record is from RNAcentral. Lineage: Eukaryota; Fungi; Ascomycota; Sordariomycetes; Hypocreales; Clavicipitaceae. RNAcentral also lists the same sequence under 1 other name.
UCUUCCAUAGUAUAGUGGUCAGUAUGCAAGCUUGUCACGCUUGAGACCCGGGUUCAAUUCCCGGUGGGAGAG